GUUUCCAUAGUGUGUGGUGGUUAUCACGUUAAGUCCCCAACUGAAAGGUCCCCAGUUUGAAACUGGGUGGAAACA
This 75-nucleotide transfer RNA is filed under the name Alosa alosa (allis shad). Its description in RNAcentral is "tRNA-OTHER". Lineage: Eukaryota; Metazoa; Chordata; Actinopteri; Clupeiformes; Clupeidae. The record is from RNAcentral.